GUGGCUAUGGUGUAAUGGUAGCACAGAAGCUUGUGGAGCUUUUAGCACGGGUUCGAUUCCCGUUAGCCACCCCA
This 74-nucleotide transfer RNA is filed under the name Candidatus Magasanikiibacteriota bacterium. RNAcentral describes it as "Candidatus Magasanikbacteria bacterium tRNA-His". It matches the Rfam family "tRNA". From Rfam's summary of the family: Transfer RNA (tRNA) molecules are approximately 80 nucleotides in length. Their secondary structure includes four short double-helical elements and three loops (D, anti-codon, and T loops). The record is from RNAcentral. Lineage: Bacteria; Candidatus Magasanikiibacteriota.